This 64-nucleotide ribosomal RNA is filed under the name uncultured bacterium. Its description in RNAcentral is "partial 16S ribosomal RNA". It matches the Rfam family "Bacterial small subunit ribosomal RNA", at positions 291 to 354 of the family's 1533-position model. The record is from RNAcentral.
ACUGAGAGGUUGGCCGGCCACAUUGGGACUGAGAUACGGCCCAGACUCCUACGGGAGGCAGCAG